AGUAGAGCGUGUCCCGAAAUUAACUUGAAUAACCUAAUUUCUACCUUCCCGCCGAUCUGUUCUUACACACUGUGCAAAGGGCAAAACAGAAGUGAAACAAGAGAGAUUAACAAGGUCUGUGCCAGCUGUUAGAGGAGAAGUCAUUGUUUGUCUGCAUUUAAGGAGAAAAGGACACUAUUUGGCAGCAUGGGGUGCCUCGGAGUCGCUGGAGCUAAUGAUCAUCCUGAGAAUUGAGCUGUGAGGCGAGUUGCCCAUUGACCGGCCCUGACUGCUCUCGCUGACAGGUGCUAAUGGGAGGGGGCAGGACACAGCUGCCUGAACAGGAAUCCCAUUAUCCUUUGCUGGGUAUUGAUUCACCCUGUGGGAUGUUUCCUUUCUGGCUGUGUUAAUUUUCAGAGUGCACAUUUGCCUCUUUCUCAGCAGAGAGAGAGAGCGAGAGAGAGAGAGAGAGAAAGAGCGUCAGAGGUGCUCGGGGCAAACGUAAUGGGCCCUGCCUUCCAGUCUGCAGAGGUUGUGUCUGUGGGGAUGUGGGCUCCUCUAAUUACAGUGCCUGCUAGGGGACGGGGUUGCAAGAAUAGCUUUGCCACUAAUAUAAUUGCCCUGAGGUGCAUAGCAAAUUAAUCUAAUGACACAAGGUGCAUUUUGAAAGUUGUCCCCCCCCCAUCUGUAAACAGUAGUUCUCAUUUUCGACUUGACGUUUUUUGCACAGAAAAUCCAGGAAGUGAUCCAGCAGUUGGAAUCCGCGCCAUUGACAGUCAUCUGAACAUUUUCACUGUCUCUUUUGUUUACACACAGGCCUUCUAAAAACCUUCAGGGAUAAUUUAGAAGUGAUCUUCGCCUUUGGCCACGCUCUGUGGUCUGCUGGUUUGUGCUGAAGGGCAAUAGGUGGGUGGGGUGGGGUGGUUAUAAGGAAAAUUGCUGAAAAUAAUGUUUAAAGAUGUCUUCUUAUUGCAGGUAAAUCAUGGCAGAUUGCACGUUGAAGAACACAGGCGGUGGACACAAUGCUGAGAACCCAGGGGGGCGUCUCGGUCACCUCACUGGCCCUGCUGGGCCUCAGCCAGCCCGAGGCGUGUACAGAACGUCUGCCCGUUAAAGGAGUUUCCCUGACUUAGAGCAAAACCCUGCAUUCCUGCCAAAUGUGGGCACGUGUGUGUGCGUGCGUGUGUUAUGCCUCAUGACAGUGGCAUUUUAGGCACAUUUACAUACUUGGGCAAUCAGUUUAGUUCAUAGAUUACUCCGAUUUCUGUCAUCUCCCAUGUCCUUGCUUUGUCGUGAUGCAGGAGCUGCAUGAGGCCUUACCUUGGAAGGGACUCCUGUCCCAUGGCCACUGUGGAUUCCCAACCUCCGCCCGCCCGGUGCUCCGGGAGCCCUGGCCUCAGUGUUGUGUUCCUGUCUCUGAACUGCUUAGGGCCAUAGGCUUCUUCAGUCCCUUUGCUUCUCCUCCCCUGGGACAGUUUUGCCAAAAACACUUCCCCACAGCAUUAAAAACUCUUUGAGGAUGUAAGUGCCCAAAGACGGGGUAAUCUUCAGGGCAAGGAGGGACACCGAGUGAGGGAGUACAUCUCCACAAACCUGAAGCAUCGUGGAUGGAGGGAUGAGUCCUCCAAAACAGGAGGUCCUGUCCCACUGGUGGGGAAGAGUGAAAACGAGAAGCUUUCAUUUGCUCAGGAGUCCCUGGGUGAGUCAGGUGUGGGACACAGGACUGGGCAAGGCUCCAGCCUGCAGUUCCCCUGUGAGGGCUCAAGGAUGUCCUGGACUCUGGAAGAGUCACGCAAGUUUGGUUUGCAGCUAGAGAACCUUGUGAUACUUGCUCAUCUAAUGCUGGCUCAUCUGUUUGGUUGGCUUUUGGGGGAAGAGAAUUCUAAAAUGUAGCUUUGCCCAUGUCCCCACUCCCAACCCUACAUGGGCUCUGUCUCUCUAUUAGCAUUAGGGCAGCACCCGAUCUCCAGACUGGGCCCUUUGCAGUGUGCCCCAGCUCACCUCCAAGGCCCUGUCCCCUCUCCCCCUCACUCAUGCUCUGUGUCAUGCGCUGUAAUGAUGGUAAAGACAUCGGCCAGCGUAGUCCUUAAUGAUGCAUGACUCUAAGUUCUCAAACGUCAGCGUGCAGACAAGUUCCCUCGGAUCAGGUUCCAGGUCACUGUUUGAUGUGGACCCAAAACGCUGUAUUUUCUACUGAGCUCCCAGGGACCGCUGAUGGUGCCUGGAUCCCACUUUAAGGAGCAGACACUUAGCAUGCAUUCACUUACUUAAUCCUUAUAACAACCUCUGGGGUUGGUGCUAUGGUUGUCCCUACUGUCCAGACAGGGAAACUGAGGCAUGGGAUGCUGAAGCGGCUUGUCUUAGGUCACACAGUAAGCGAGUUACCGGGCUGGGAGUUGGGCUCAGCAGGUCUCGCUCUCAGGUCCAUUUUCUUGUCCACUUGCCUGUGCUGCUUUGCAAACAGGUUUGGAAGAGUCCGUGGCUUUCAGCUGGCCUCCCCAGCUGCUUUCUCCCCUCCAGGCCUCCGAUGCGGUUAGUCAUCCUCUCCCUCCCUCAGCGUUCUCAUCUGUGAAGUGGGGCUGUGACAAAAACCACCUUGUAGGGUUGUUAUGGGGAUCAAAUAGGACAGGCUGUGAGCCUUCCUUCGGUGUCCCCUCCUCCUCCUUAUUAUUUCUAUUAAGUGAUUGCUAAUGGGGACUGAAAUUCCACUGACUGUGCUUGAGCUGCCCCUGUAAGGCUCGUGCAUGACCUGGGGUGCUGCUGGAAGUCUCUGCACAUCUUCCUCCUCUGCAAAGGGCAUAAUAGUAAUUGCUUCCUCACAGCGUGAUCUUGUGAAGGAUGAACUAGAUAAGGCACACACGAGCUCUUUGUGUAAGGCCGGCAUGCAGGAAGGUGUUAAAAAUGUCAUUGUUUUCAAUUCAGUGAACAUACCUCUUUCAUCCACAUCCACACAUUCUUAUUCAAUUAAUACUCUAAGCGCUUUCACAUGCAUCAUCUUAUUUCAUCCCAAUAAGAGUCUUGUGAAACACUGAUAUAUUUCUGCCAUACAGAUGAGAGAAUGGAGUCGGUGGGACAUGCUCGAAGCCAUGUGGUCCGUUGUUAGUGGAAUAGAAUCGAAAGCCCCAACCGUGUUCAUUAUUGCUCUUUCCACAGUGGUUCUGGUGUGGUGAGCGACCACUAGAUGCACAAGAAGAGCACUCACAUGUGGGAACUUUAUCGAGUUUCUCUGCAACUCUACUUAUCUGCUCCCUUAGUUCUGAGCGUGUUUGUUGUUUCCUUAAAUCUCCUUCUUAAUGUGUUUAUGUUGUUAUUUAUUACGUCUUUAUGUCUCUCUUCAUGAAGCUUUGUCCCUCUUGCCCUCUGAAUUUUCAUGAUAACCCUUGGUUGUAGUGGCAUGGGUGGAGAAGCCAUGUCCAGCUCUUGUCGCCAAUCUCUUUUUGGUCUUAAGAACCAAGUCUCCAGAGACAAGAUGUUGGGGUCAGAGGGGAUAUGGAGCAGUCCUUACCCCCAGUAGAACUAACUUCCCCCUUCAUCAUCUAUGAAACAGGGGUAGGAGUGAUUGAUACACAUUGUAAAAUUGAGUCCAGAUUGAUUACAGGGUAGAGUGCACCCAUGUUCCAUACAGUGCUCUGGGAUGAACCAGCAUCUAGGGUGGAGGUCAGUUAGACACUCUCUGAAGUUGGUGUCUAACGGAUAGAUAGUCAUUCAUUUUGGAGUUGGGACAUGUGGUUCUCCCCAAAAUGUUACACAGCCAGCACAAGAGUUAUUUAUCAUAAGCUUGUGAUGUGCUUAUAAAUAGGACAGACCUUUUGGGGAUUUAAAAGACCAGAACACACACACACACACACAUGCACAUCUCUUAUAAUGAACUCAAGGGGAUUUGCUUCUAGCUUGGAGACCUUAUAAAGGAAAUAAUCAGGAAAUAUUUGUGAUAUUUUCCAAUUAAGAACUCAGUGGCAAGUAUGGUCAAAUGCUGAUGAUUUGAUGUCAGCCAGAAGGACUGUUCUCUGUGCAUAAUUUGGAUCACUUUGUCCCUCUAUUUGAAGGGAGAUGGAAUUUUCACAUUACUGGGGUGGAAAAGGGGCGGAGAUGUGGAGAUCUGGUUUUCUAGAAUGGAAGUGACCAUAUUGUGGAAAGAAUAUUGGACUUGCAGGCCAAAGACUCGCAUCCCAAUUUUUGGAUUCAUAUUCGUUCACAGUAGGGUCUUACGCAAGUUAAUUAACCUCUCUGAACCCAAUUUUCUCAUCUGUAAGAUGGAGUUAAUAAUAAUCUAUUUUAAGGAUUGCUGAGUAGAAGAAAUACAAUAGACGUGAGCGUGUUCUGUAAACACUGGAGUGCUGUAUUCAUUAGCGGGUUAUUAUUACAACAGUGUUCACAACACAACUAACCUGAACGCCCAAAUGUGGGACACGAUACGGAGUGCAGAGGUGAACGACCCCGUCCAUUGUCCCCAUGACUGUUGCUAAUGAAUGGUCAGGUCUCAACUGGGGAGGUAGAGUCCCUGCGGCUGAUGGGUAGAUGGUGCGGCCUUGGGGAAUGGAGGAGCCAGCGCACAAGAAGUGUAGACCAGAGGCAUGCAGGGUGUUUGCAGUGCUGUACAGCCAUCACCGUCACCUCCUUCCUCAAUCUUUCAUCACCUCAAGUGGACAACACGUCCCUGUAUAGGAGUCAUUCCCUGAAAAAAAAAAAAAAAAAAAAA
Molecule: long non-coding RNA, 4678 nt
Organism: Canis lupus familiaris (dog)
Lineage: Eukaryota; Metazoa; Chordata; Mammalia; Carnivora; Canidae
Exons: 3
Source: RefSeq, a predicted model, not a curated record